RNAcentral lists this ribosomal RNA (489 nucleotides) under uncultured Oscillospiraceae bacterium. RNAcentral's name for it is "bacterial SSU rRNA". It matches the Rfam family "Bacterial small subunit ribosomal RNA", at positions 27 to 507 of the family's 1533-position model. Lineage: Bacteria; Bacillati; Bacillota; Clostridia; Eubacteriales; Oscillospiraceae. The record is from RNAcentral.
GGAUGAACGCUGGCGGCGUGCUUAACACAUGCAAGUCGAACGAAGGAACCCGUUGUACGGAGUUUUCGGUACGAACUGAUAGGAAUCCUUAGUGGCGGACGGGUGAGUAACGCGUGAGGAACCUGCCCUGGAGUGGGGAAUAACACAGUGAAAAUUGUGCUAAUACCGCAUAAUGCAGUUGAGUCGCAUGGCUCUGACUGCCAAAGAUUUAUCGCUCUGGGAUGGACUCGCGUCUGAUUAGCUAGUUGGUGGGGUAACGGCUCACCAAGGCGACGAUCAGUAGCCGGACUGAGAGGUUGGCCGGCCACAUUGGGACUGAGACACGGCCCAGACUCCUACGGGAGGCAGCAGUGGGGAAUAUUGGGCAAUGGGCGCAAGCCUGACCCAGCAACGCCGCGUGAAGGAAGAAGGCUUUCGGGUUGUAAACUUCUUUUAUGAGGGACGAAUGAAGUGACGGUACCUCAUGAAUAAGCCACGGCUAACUACGUG